Molecule: ribosomal RNA, 812 nt
Filed under: unidentified archaeon
Lineage: Archaea
Description: partial 16S ribosomal RNA
Source: RNAcentral
CAAACUUAACGGCUUCCCUGCGGCACUGAGUUAGCAAUAAGCCAACUCAUCACCGAGUCUGCAUCGUUUACAGCUGGGACUACCCGGGUAUCUAAUCCGGUUUGCUCCCCCAGCUUUCAUCCCUCACCGUCGAGCGCGUUCUGGCAAGCCGCCUUCGCCACUGGUGGUCUUCAAUGGAUCAACGGAUUUUACCCCUACCCAUCGAGUACCGCUUGCCUCUCCCGCCUCCUAGCUCUAUAGUAUCUUCCGCAGCCCAUCUGUUAAGCAGGUGGAUUUAACGGAAGACUUGUAGAACCGGCUACGGAUGCUUUAGGCCCAAUAAACGUCCCGACCACUCGGGGUGCUGGUAUUACCGCGGCGGCUGACACCAGACUUGCCCACCCCUUAUUCUGCACCAUUUUUAGAGGUGCCAAAAGAUCUCCUUAACGGAAAUCACUCAGAGUAACCCUGUCAAGCUUUCGCCUAUUGCAGAGGUUUCGCGCCUGCUGCGCCCCAUAGGGCCUGGGCCCUUGUCUCAGUGCCCAUCUCCGGGCUCCUCCUCUCAGAGCCCGUACCGGUUACAGGUUUGGUGGGCCAUUACCUCACCAACAGCCUGAUCGGCCGCAGUCCAAUCCAGGGGCCAUAUAGAUUUAAGUCAUUACCCAUUCCAGAAGUGAUGACCUAUCGCGGUUUAUCCUCAGUUUCCCGAGGUUAUCCACGUCCCCUGGGCAUGUUGACUACGUGUUACUGAGCCGUAUGCCACAUAUUGCUAUGUUGACUCGCAUGGCUUAGUCCCACUCUGAUAGCAGUCGGGUCCGGCAGGAUCAACCGGA